RNAcentral lists this transfer RNA (69 nucleotides) under Leptasterias hexactis. RNAcentral describes it as "tRNA-Pro". It matches the Rfam family "tRNA". Rfam says of the family: Transfer RNA (tRNA) molecules are approximately 80 nucleotides in length. The record is from RNAcentral. Lineage: Eukaryota; Metazoa; Echinodermata; Asteroidea; Forcipulatida; Asteriidae.
CAGGAGGUAGUUUAUUAAAAAUAAUGGCUUUGGGAGUUGUUGAUAUAAGUUUGAAUCUUGUUUUCCUGA